GUAUCAAGUUCUUCCAAAACAUUAAAAUCAAAAUUUUGUAUAAAUGUUGCCUUUGACCUAUUUAGGUGAAUAUCUCAAUACGAUUUCACCAACGAUGCGUCUCAUUUCAUGGUGAGACCUCACAAAUACCCUUGUUCCCUUGCCAGAUAUAUUGUAAGAUGCUUUUAUAUUUGUCCAAAUAGCUUUAUCAUGAGAAACAAUAAAAUAUUCUCUCCCUGUAGAUAUAGAAUAUGCUCAAAUUUCCCCCUACUUAUAACAUUAAACACACUCAGUUGCACUCCCUCCUAAAGACAGCACAAGUAACCAUAAAUGUUGUCUUGAGUCGGCUAGCAAAUGUAACAAAAUGUGUUUACUUGUGUUUAGCAUAGUACUGUAGUCUGUAAUGUUGAUCUUGAUAGCGAUUUGAAAAUAUGAUUGUAGGUAUUACAGUGAGCUUCAACUUUCUGUUGCCCUGUAUAUCAAAAGAAAGCUAUCCUAUGUAAAGUGAAUGUCAUUACAGUUUUCUAAUUUUUGCUGGGAUCUGCGGAGGACCAGGAAUUUUAUCCCUGAGCAGUCCCCCAGGAUAAACAAUAAAGUAAAUAAAUAAUAAUGAAUAUUAUGAGGCAUCAUAUUUAUAUGAAUAAAGAAAUAAUUUAAGUUUUUGUUUCUUCAUUUUUAAUGUUUGCAGUAUCUAUUUUAAAUAGUGUAUUUCGUAGACGUUAUUUGAAAAUUUAACCUAAGCAAGAUGUUAACCAGCAGUUUUUCAUAAGCAGGUAGAUUUUGUGUGUUUAGGCAGGAAGGAAAUGAGGUGAUAAAGUUAUAGAACUACAAAUUAUUAAUCAGAGUCUUAGGUUUUUAUCCUUAGUUGAACCUUAAACUGACUAUGUAUUGUAACAUUUUCUAAUAAAAAUACAUUGGUUUGA
Molecule: long non-coding RNA, 902 nt
Organism: Anneissia japonica
Lineage: Eukaryota; Metazoa; Echinodermata; Crinoidea; Comatulida; Comatulidae
Exons: 2
Source: RefSeq, a predicted model, not a curated record